RNAcentral lists this ribosomal RNA (254 nucleotides) under uncultured bacterium. RNAcentral's name for it is "partial 16S ribosomal RNA". It matches the Rfam family "Bacterial small subunit ribosomal RNA", at positions 524 to 776 of the family's 1533-position model. The record is from RNAcentral.
GACGAACCGUGCGAACGUUAUUCGGAAUCACUGGGCUUAAAGCGCGUGUAGGCGGGAGGGCACGUCCGUCGCUGAAAUCCCCCGGCUCAACCGGGGAACGGGCGCGGAUACGACCUUCCUUGAGGGGCGUAGGGGGACCUGGAACUUCCGGUGGAGCGGUGAAAUGCGUAGAGAUCGGAAAGAACACCAACGGCGAAAGCACUCUGCUGGGCCGACACUGACACUGAGAGACGAAAGCUAGGGGAGCGAAUGGG